Molecule: unclassified non-coding RNA, 269 nt
Filed under: plant metagenome
Description: partial contains small subunit ribosomal RNA, internal transcribed spacer 1, and 5.8S ribosomal RNA
Source: RNAcentral
UUUCCGUAGGUGAACCUGCGGAAGGAUCAUUAAUGAGUUGUCAUGGGGUUCGAUGCUGGCAGCCAAUUUUUGGAUGCAUGUGCUUGCCCUAACAAUCAUCUUCCAAACACCUGUGCACAUUUUUGAGGAAGUCUUGAGCUGGUUGCCGCUCUUGGGUGAUUUUCUCACAUUCCCUUAAAUCAUUAUACGCUAUUAACAAUGUUGAACGUGCUCUGUGCCGCAAGGCUAUUAAUAUAAUACAACUUUUAACAACGGAUCUCUUGGCUCUC